This 888-nucleotide ribosomal RNA is filed under the name Blastobotrys terrestris. Its description in RNAcentral is "LSU rRNA". It matches the Rfam family "Eukaryotic large subunit ribosomal RNA", at positions 38 to 936 of the family's 3401-position model. The record is from RNAcentral. Lineage: Eukaryota; Fungi; Ascomycota; Dipodascomycetes; Dipodascales; Trichomonascaceae.
GCAUAUCAAUAAGCGGAGGAAAAGAAACCAACAGGGAUUGCCUCAGUAACGGCGAGCGAAGCGGCAAAAGCUCAAAUUUGAAAUCUGGCGUCUUUCUUAGGCGUCCGAGUUGUAAUUUGAAGAUGGCAACUUUGGGAUUGGCUCUCGCAUAUGUUCCUUGGAAACAGGACGUCAUAGAGGGUGAGAACCCCGUUCAUGGCGAGAUGACCCAAUUCUAUGUAAAGUGCUUUCUAAGAGUCGAGUUGUUUGGGAAUGCAGCUCUAAGUGGGUGGUAAAUUCCAUCUAAGGCUAAAUAUUGGCGAGAGACCGAUAGCGAACAAGUACAGUGAUGGAAAGAUGAAAAGAACUUUGAAAAGAGAGUGAAAAAGUACGUGAAAUUGUUGAAAGGGAAGGGCUUGAAAUCAGACUUGGUAUUCAGUGAUCAACUGUCUCUCGGGACUGUGCACUCGCUGUUUACUGGGCCAACAUCGGUUUAGAGGGUGAGAUAAAAGCUAGAGAAUGUGGCACUGCUUCGGUAGUGUGUUAUAGCUCUGGUCAAUAUCACCACUCUAGACCGAGGACUGCGCUUUAUGCUAGGAUGUUGGCGUAAUGAUUUUAAGCCACCCGUCUUGAAACACGGACCAAGGAGUCUAACGUCUAUGCGAGUGUUUGGGUGUAAAACCCGUACGCGUAAUGAAAGUGAACGUAGAUGAGAGCCCUUAAGGGUGCAUCAUCGACCGAUCCUGAUGUUUUCGGAUGGAUUUGAGUAAGAGCAUAGCUGUUGGGACCCGAAAGAUGGUGAACUAUGCCUGAAUAGGGUGAAGCCAGAGGAAACUCUGGUGGAGGCUCGUAGCGAUUCUGACGUGCAAAUCGAUCGUCAAAUUUGGGUAUAGGGGCGAAAGACUAAUC